Molecule: long non-coding RNA, 422 nt
Filed under: Calidris pugnax (ruff)
Lineage: Eukaryota; Metazoa; Chordata; Aves; Charadriiformes; Scolopacidae
Description: lncRNA (ENSCPUG00000008988.1)
Source: RNAcentral
AUGUCCCGUGUAGAUCCUGUGUCCUUCCCAUGUUCAUCCCAUGUCCCGUGUAGAUCCCAUGUCCAUCCCAUGUCCAUCCCGUGUCCAUCCUAUGUCCCUCCCAUGUCCUAUGUCCAUCCUGUGUCCAUCCCGUGUCCUUCCUAUGUCCCAUGUAGAUCCUGUGUCCCUCCCAUGUCCCUCCCGUGUCCAUCCUGUGUCCUUCCCAUGUCCCAUGUAGAUCCCAUGUCCAUCCCAUGUCCAUCCUGUGUCCUUCCCAUGUCCCAUGUAGAUUCCGUGUCCAUCCUGUGUCCAUCCCGUGUAGAUCCCAUGUCCCUCCCAUGUCCAACCCAUGUCCCAUGUAGAUCCCAUGUCCUUCCCGUGUCCAUCCCAUGUCCUUCCCAUGUCCUGUGUCCAUCCCGUGUCAUUCCCAUAUUCCAUGUACA